UACAGAGGUGGCAAGCGUUGUUCGGAUUCAUUGGGCGUAAAGGGUGCGUAGGUGGUUUGGUAAGUUGGAUGUGAAAUGCCACAGCUCAACUGGGGAAUUGCAUCCAAAACUACCUUACUUGAGGAUCUCGGGAAGAGAAUGGAAUUCUCGGUGUAGCGGUGAAAUGCGUAGAUAUCGAGAAGAACACCUGUGGCGAAGGCGGUUCUCUACCAUAUUCCUGACACUAAAGCACGAAAGCGCGGGGAGCAAACGGG
Molecule: ribosomal RNA, 254 nt
Filed under: uncultured bacterium
Lineage: Bacteria
Description: partial 16S ribosomal RNA
Rfam family: Bacterial small subunit ribosomal RNA
Source: RNAcentral